GCAUGGCUGCUCAUACUGGUAGACCUUGUAGACCACCAGGAACACCACACACACCAAGAAGGCCAGAGCACAGAUCACCAGCAAGGUCACCUGGACGAGGAACACAACAAUCAGGACAUCAGGCAACAGAUGAGACAACAGCAACGCAACAGUAGGUUAUCAAAGAGGCGAGGACUCCCUGCAGCACUUCAAAGCUCGCAGGAACUCAAAAAGAGGUUUUGAUCACAUCUGACUAUAACAAAGAUCAUCUGUUGAAUUAGAGCUGUUUUAUUCCAGCAUAUGUUCAAAUUGUCCCAUUCAAAGAGUGUGCACGUUUGCCAGCCACCGAGGUGGGAGAGAAACUGCUAUUGGGAGGCCAUCACCAUGGCAGCAGCUGAUUUAAUGCGAGCGGCUAAAGGAAGCGUCAGGUGAAUCAUCGGUGAGCACGAUGGAUUGUUGAGUCAAGUCGCACGACAGGAUGUGGAAGUGGGUCAGAGUCACUGAGUAUAAAUAAUGAUGCAACAGAUAAACGAGUUAUUCCCAUCGAUUGCCUUAUUUAAGAGAAUUGUUUGAUGUUGGUUAACUUCCAAGAAUCACAUACCAGUAUUUUUUAUUUUUAUUUUUUCUAUUUUUUUAGUUGCUAUUGUUAGCUAAUUUUGCAUUUCAUGCAAGUUAAUAAAUGAGGAAAACUUGCAUAUCAAAAUGGGUAUUGUGUAUAUAAUUAAAAACAGCAAAUUUACUUUUACUUUUGGACAUUUCAGAGAGCAGGAAUCUUACUUUGAGUCGCUCGGACACGCCUUCGAUGAUGCUUAUUGAGAACUCUGCGAUUUUGGGAGAUCUGAUCUUGCCCUUCUUGGUCUCGCCGUCAUAAUCCGCCUUUGUCUUCACCACCACCUAGAAACACACAUACAGGUAGAAUAUAUGCAUAAUUAAGCUAUGCAUAUUUAAAUCAAUAAAAUAUACAUAGAUAUACAUUUAUUCAUAAAUAUAUAGAGAGAGUGGGAUAGAGAUAUAUAUUUUAAAAUAUUUUAUUUUUAAUUUGCAUACCUGGUUCCCCAUCCCUGAAGUAGAGCUCUAGAUAUCCACAUAUCUAUGAUCCACCCAUGUUUAUUAUAUAAAAUCUAAUCCCUUACCUUGUCUGGCGGAGGGAAAUGAAGCUGGCUGGCAUCUAAAGGUGUGAUGAGGGGAAUUGUGUCAAAUCCGUCUUCAGAAGCCACCUUCCCAUUG
Molecule: long non-coding RNA, 1206 nt
Organism: Syngnathus acus (greater pipefish)
Lineage: Eukaryota; Metazoa; Chordata; Actinopteri; Syngnathiformes; Syngnathidae
Exons: 2
Source: RefSeq, a predicted model, not a curated record